Molecule: ribosomal RNA, 506 nt
Filed under: uncultured bacterium
Lineage: Bacteria
Description: partial 16S ribosomal RNA
Rfam family: Bacterial small subunit ribosomal RNA
Source: RNAcentral
AUUGAACGCUGGCGGCAGGCCUAACACAUGCAAGUCGAACGAUAACAGGAAGCAGCCUGCUGCUUCGCUGACGAGUGGCGGACGGGUGAGUAAUGUCUGGGAAACUGCCUGAUGGAGGGGGAUAACUACUGGAAACGGUAGCUAAUACCGCAUAACGUCGCAAGACCAAAGAGGGGGACCUUCGGGCCUCUUGCCAUCGGAGGUGCCCAGAUGGGAUUAGCUAGUAGGUGGGGUAACGGCUCACCUAGGCGACGAUCCCUAGCUGGUCUGAGAGGAUGACCAGCCACACUGGAACUGAGACACGGUCCAGACUCCUACGGGAGGCAGCAGUGGGGGAUAUUGCACAAUGGGCGCAAGCCUGAUGCAGCCAUGCCGCGUGUAUGAAGAAGGCCUUCGGGUUGUAAAGUACUUUCAGCGGGGAGGAAGGCGAUAAGGUUAAUAACCUUGUCGAUUGACGUUACCCGCAGAAGAAGCACCGGCUAACUCCGUGCCAGCCGCCGCGGUAA